Molecule: transfer RNA, 71 nt
Filed under: Loxodonta africana (African savanna elephant)
Lineage: Eukaryota; Metazoa; Chordata; Mammalia; Proboscidea; Elephantidae
Rfam family: tRNA
About the family: Transfer RNA (tRNA) molecules are approximately 80 nucleotides in length.
Source: Rfam by way of RNAcentral
GUAGUGGUGGUUCAGUGGUACAAUUCUCACUUUCUCUGUAGGAGACCUGGGUUCGAUUCCCAGCCAAUGCA